Molecule: transfer RNA, 67 nt
Filed under: Marvinbryantia formatexigens
Lineage: Bacteria; Bacillati; Bacillota; Clostridia; Lachnospirales; Lachnospiraceae
Also listed under: 10 other names
Rfam family: tRNA
About the family: Transfer RNA (tRNA) molecules are approximately 80 nucleotides in length. Their secondary structure includes four short double-helical elements and three loops (D, anti-codon, and T loops). Further hydrogen bonds mediate the characteristic L-shaped molecular structure. tRNAs have two regions of fundamental functional importance: the anti-codon, which is responsible for specific mRNA codon recognition, and the 3' end, to which the tRNAs corresponding amino acid is attached (by aminoacyl-tRNA synthetases). tRNAs cope with the degeneracy of the genetic code in two manners: having more than one tRNA (with a specific anti-codon) for a particular amino acid; and 'wobble' base-pairing, i.e. permitting non-standard base-pairing at the 3rd anti-codon position.
Source: RNAcentral
GCUAUAGCUCAGUUGGAUAGAGCGACCGCCUCCUAAGCGGUAGGCCGGAGGUUCAAAUCCUCUUAGC